This 374-nucleotide unclassified non-coding RNA is filed under the name soil metagenome. RNAcentral describes it as "partial contains internal transcribed spacer 2 and large subunit ribosomal RNA". The stretch from base 1 to 120 matches the Rfam family "5.8S ribosomal RNA", at positions 35 to 154 of the family's 154-position model. The record is from RNAcentral.
GAUGAAGAACGUAGCGAAAUGCGAUAAUUAAUGUGAAUUGCAGAAUUCCGUGAAUCAUCGAGUCUUUGAACGCACAUUGCGCCUCAUGGCAUUCCGUGAGGCAUGCCCAUCUCAGCGUUAGAAAAUAUUCUCAAAUUUUAGUUUUGUGCUAAAAUUUGGAUCAUGUAAAGGAAGCUAUUACUAUUAUUGUGAUCGCUCUUUGGAAAUUGAUAGGUCUUUGAGUUGCUACUCAUAGAACGUGAUGAAUCUUUCUUCGUUCUAUUGUAAUUCACUCUGGUAGUCCUAAAACUUGUAUGCCUGUGGCAUAUCUUGUAAUUUGACCUGAGAUUGGGUAGGGAUACCCGCUGAACUUAAGCAUAUCAAUAAGCGGAGGA